UACGUAGGGUCCGAGCGUUGUCCGGAAUUAUUGGGUGUAAAGAGCUCGUAGGCGGUUUGUCGCGUCUGCUGUGAAAUCCCGAGGCUCAACCUCGGGUCUGCAGUGGGUACGGGCAGACUGGAGUGCGGUAGGGGAGAAUGGAAUUCCUGGUGUAGCGGUGAAAUGCGCAGAUAUCAGGAAGAACACCAAUGGCGAAAGCAGCUCUCUGGGACGGUACUGACGCUGAGACGCGAAAGCGUGGGGAGCGAACAGG
RNAcentral lists this ribosomal RNA (253 nucleotides) under uncultured bacterium. Its description in RNAcentral is "partial 16S ribosomal RNA". It matches the Rfam family "Bacterial small subunit ribosomal RNA", at positions 524 to 776 of the family's 1533-position model. The record is from RNAcentral.